GCGUUGAUGGUUAAGUGGUAUAAUAGUUGCCUUCCAAGCAAUCGUCCCGGGUUCGAUUCCCGGUCAACGCA
Coemansia reversa NRRL 1564 is the source of this 71-nucleotide non-coding RNA. NCBI's taxonomy places the organism in Eukaryota, Fungi, Kickxellomycota, Kickxellomycetes, Kickxellales, Kickxellaceae. The record is from the annotation of a GenBank genome assembly.